Molecule: ribosomal RNA, 504 nt
Filed under: uncultured bacterium
Lineage: Bacteria
Description: partial 16S ribosomal RNA
Rfam family: Bacterial small subunit ribosomal RNA
Source: RNAcentral
AUUGAACGCUGGCGGCAGGCCUAACACAUGCAAGUCGAACGGUAGCACAGAGAGCUUGCUCUCGGGUGACGAGUGGCGGACGGGUGAGUAAUGUCUGGGAAACUGCCCGAUGGAGGGGGAUAACUACUGGAAACGGUAGCUAAUACCGCAUAACGUCGCGAGACCAAAGUGGGGGACCUUCGGGCCUCACACCAUCGGAUGUGCCCAGAUGGGAUUAGCUAGUAGGUGGGGUAAUGGCUCACCUAGGCGACGAUCCCUAGCUGGUCUGAGAGGAUGACCAGCCACACUGGAACUGAGACACGGUCCAGACUCCUACGGGAGGCAGCAGUGGGGAAUAUUGCACAAUGGGCGCAAGCCUGAUGCAGCCAUGCCGCGUGUAUGAAGAAGGCCUUCGGGUUGUAAGGUACUUUCAGCGGGGAGGAAGGCGGUGAAGUUAAUAGCUUCACCGAUUGACGUUACCCGCAGAAGAAGCACCGGCUAACUCCGUGCCAGCAGCCGCGGUAA